GACGAAGGGGGCUAGCGUUGCUCGGAAUCACUGGGCGUAAAGCGCACGUAGGCGGAUUGUUAAGUCAGGGGUGAAAUCCUGGAGCUCAACUCCAGAACUGCCUUUGAUACUGGCGAUCUUGAGUCCGGGAGAGGUGAGUGGAACUGCGAGUGUAGAGGUGAAAUUCGUAGAUAUUCGCAAGAACACCAGUGGCGAAGGCGGCUCACUGGCCCGGUACUGACGCUGAGGUGCGAAAGCGUGGGGAGCAAACAGG
RNAcentral lists this ribosomal RNA (253 nucleotides) under uncultured bacterium. Its description in RNAcentral is "partial 16S ribosomal RNA". It matches the Rfam family "Bacterial small subunit ribosomal RNA", at positions 524 to 776 of the family's 1533-position model. The record is from RNAcentral.